GACACAUUUCCUGCUUCUUGGACUGGGUCGCCCACGAGAGGCACCGAAGCACGCAUGGAAAGUUCAACCAAGAUCUUCACGCUCACUGCCUCUGGUUCUGUGAAAUUUAAGUCUGCAGCUAAAGGAGGGGAAAGGAAUCCCUACGCCUUCCCUGCUGCCAACAACCAAAGCAAACUCUCAAGCCAAGAACCCCAGUGGAUUCUUUCAAUUCAAUUUCUUCACAACUUUCUCCCUGCUGGCAAAUGUUAAAUUUCUAUUUCAAGGAGAAAUAAGAGCUUCAUUAACUUGCCUGUCUUCAGGCUUCUCUAA
Molecule: long non-coding RNA, 309 nt
Organism: Lontra canadensis (Northern American river otter)
Lineage: Eukaryota; Metazoa; Chordata; Mammalia; Carnivora; Mustelidae
Exons: 2
Source: RefSeq, a predicted model, not a curated record